GUCAGGAUGGCCGAGUGGUCUAAGGCGCCAGACUCAAGUUCUGGUCCUCAAUUGAGGGCGUGGGUUCAAACCCCACUUCUGACA
Molecule: non-coding RNA, 84 nt
Organism: Picea glauca (white spruce)
Lineage: Eukaryota; Viridiplantae; Streptophyta; Pinopsida; Pinales; Pinaceae
Source: Rfam